This 253-nucleotide ribosomal RNA is filed under the name uncultured bacterium. Its description in RNAcentral is "partial 16S ribosomal RNA". It matches the Rfam family "Bacterial small subunit ribosomal RNA", at positions 524 to 776 of the family's 1533-position model. The record is from RNAcentral.
GACAGAGGAGGCAAGCGUUGUUCGGAAUCAUUGGGCUUAAAGGGCGUGCAGGCGGCGGCGCAAGUGUCGAGUGAAAUCCCAUCGCUCAACGAUGGAACGGCUCGGCAAACUGCGUCGCUUGAGGUCGGUAGAGGUGCGCGGAACUCUAGGUGGAGCGGUGAAAUGCGUAGAUAUCUAGAGGAACGCCUGAGGCGAAAGCGGGGCACUGGGCCGAUUCUGACGCUGAUACGCGAAAGCGUGGGGAGCAAACAGG